Molecule: long non-coding RNA, 389 nt
Organism: Zophobas morio
Lineage: Eukaryota; Metazoa; Arthropoda; Insecta; Coleoptera; Tenebrionidae
Exons: 3
Source: RefSeq, a predicted model, not a curated record
UGAGGCUAUCAAUGUUUUGAUCUACGUGGCGAAAUUAGUCGCUAAAGACCCAAAGUUGGCGUUCGCCAAAAGGAAAGAGUAGUGGGCGAGCUUGAGUAAAGACGAACCCGAAAAUCAGGCCAGACCUGAAAAUUUAGAACAGUUGAUCGUGUUGUUGACUAGAGAAUCAGCUAGAAGGGUUGUCCAUUUUAUUAAUUACAAUAGCGACUUUAUCAGCAAGAUUCCAACCAAGGUUGUGGCUUCAGUGUCACCAUUUUUGCACUUCGCUGACUCUUCAGUGACGAGUGUCCAUAUGGAUGGAGUUCAGCGAGCUCUCGUCUCAAGCCUCAAAACUCAAGCGCACCAUUUUACUCUCUUGCUUAAGCAAGUAAACGUUUACAUCACUCAUU